Homo sapiens (human) is the source of this 1037-nucleotide long non-coding RNA. RefSeq lists it as uncharacterized. The record is from RefSeq and is a predicted model, not a curated record. NCBI's taxonomy places the organism in Eukaryota, Metazoa, Chordata, Mammalia, Primates, Hominidae. The transcript has 2 exons.
CAGCAGCGGAGAGGACUACCGAAGCUUGCAGUCGCGGUUUGAAAACUGCAGCCGCGUCUGGGGCAUCGCCGUUCGCCAGAUCCCUCCCCCUAGAGAGGUCAGUUCGAGAGGUGUGAAUAUCCGGAGACCGGGGAGAAGGAAGCCGCAAAAUUCGUCCCAGCUGCCUGCGACUAGUUACCAAACUUCAGUGCCUACCAAAGACCUAUUUUCUGACUCUUCUUGAGAGUCUUCCUUAGGACCGGAACGUACCCUGUAAGUGGAGAACCCAGUUUGCUACAACUUGGCAGAGGUUCCUCGGAGUGUCAACAUCAGUUGGGGAUUUAUGGAACCUAGACCCCACUGCUAACGUCCGCUGUCGCGAAUGGUGUCCCUUCUGAGGCACUGACUGAAGGCAGUGUAGGGAGGGUCCCAAUAGGCUGAAUAGCCGAUUUUGCAUUUAUAGUGCUAAGGAAAAAGAUGAAAGCCCUCAGCAACCUACUCAAGAUCUGUUAUCCUUUGAAGACAGUGGAAAUUUUCAAAGUUCUGUGCAAGACACAAAUGUUUUACAUAGAUAUAUAAUCCUAGUUUAUAUGUAUAGGAUACACACAUACUCAUACAUAUAUGGGAUUAGUUAUGUAAUCUAGGAUUGCUUUCAGAGGACAUUUACGAUAAUUGCAGAAAACCCUUCCGUGGGAAAGGAUACUGGGAGUGGAGUCGUCCUCUUGCUUUCAAAAGACUUAAUGUUCAGUUAGCAUAUAAAGGACAGGUUUUCUUGUUCUAUCCCAGUAAGCCAAGCAAAUUCCUGUGAAGCUAGCUGUUUCCCUUUCCUACUGCAUUUUCCCCAAGAUAAAGGUAUAGAAUGCAUCACAGCCCUUUUAUGAAGUCUGUUUGUUGUUACUUAGGUUAACUCCUCCUCCCAGGUUAAUAAUGUCUUGCCCCUAAACCUUGUCAAAUGGAGAAUAUUGCUUCCAUCUAUCUAAUUUCUUGUUGCUAACAAUUGGGCUGACUAGAGAAGCCUAAAGUUAGGAUGAAAAUAAAAUGCCACACACUGGAAUUAA